Molecule: ribosomal RNA, 497 nt
Filed under: uncultured bacterium
Lineage: Bacteria
Description: partial 16S ribosomal RNA
Rfam family: Bacterial small subunit ribosomal RNA
Source: RNAcentral
GAUGAACGCUGGCGGCGUGCCUAAUACAUGCAAGUCGAGCGAACAGAUGAGGAGCUUGCUCCUCUGACGUUAGCGGCGGACGGGUGAGUAACACGUGGAUAACCUACCUAUAAGACUGGGAUAACUUCGGGAAACCGGAGCUAAUACCGGGUAAUAUAUUGAACCGCAUGGUUCAAUAGUGAAAGACGGUUUUGCUGUCACUUAUAGAUGGAUCCGCGCCGCAUUAGCUAGUUGGUAAGGUAACGGCUUACCAAGGCAACGAUGCGUAGCCGACCUGAGAGGGUGAUCGGCCACACUGGAACUGAGACACGGUCCAGACUCCUACGGGAGGCAGCAGUAGGGAAUCUUCCGCAAUGGGCGAAAGCCUGACGGAGCAACGCCGCGUGAGUGAUGAAGGUCUUCGGAUCGUAAAACUCUGCUAUUAGGGAAGAACAAAUGUGUAAGUAACUAUGCACGUCUUGACGGUACCUAAUCAGAAAGCCACGGCUAACUACGUG